Molecule: ribosomal RNA, 703 nt
Filed under: Klebsiella variicola
Lineage: Bacteria; Pseudomonadati; Pseudomonadota; Gammaproteobacteria; Enterobacterales; Enterobacteriaceae
Description: partial 23S ribosomal RNA
Rfam family: Bacterial large subunit ribosomal RNA
Source: RNAcentral
CGGGGUUGCGGACAGUGUCUGGUGGGUAGUUUGACUGGGGCGGUCUCCUCCCAAAGAGUAACGGAGGAGCACGAAGGUUAGCUAAUCCUGGUCGGACAUCAGGAGGUUAGUGCAAUGGCAUAAGCUAGCUUGACUGCGAGCGUGACGGCGCGAGCAGGUGCGAAAGCAGGUCAUAGUGAUCCGGUGGUUCUGAAUGGAAGGGCCAUCGCUCAACGGAUAAAAGGUACUCCGGGGAUAACAGGCUGAUACCGCCCAAGAGUUCAUAUCGACGGCGGUGUUUGGCACCUCGAUGUCGGCUCAUCACAUCCUGGGGCUGAAGUAGGUCCCAAGGGUAUGGCUGUUCGCCAUUUAAAGUGGUACGCGAGCUGGGUUUAGAACGUCGUGAGACAGUUCGGUCCCUAUCUGCCGUGGGCGCUGGAGAAUUGAGGGGGGCUGCUCCUAGUACGAGAGGACCGGAGUGGACGCAUCACUGGUGUUCGGGUUGUCAUGCCAAUGGCACUGCCCGGUAGCUAAAUGCGGAAGAGAUAAGUGCUGAAAGCAUCUAAGCACGAAACUUGCCCCGAGAUGAGUUCUCCCUGAGACUUUAAGUCUCCUGAAGGAACGUUAAAGACGAUGACGUUGAUAGGCCGGGUGUGUAAGCGCAGCGAUGCGUUGAGCUAACCGGUACUAAUGAACCGUGAGGCUUAACCUUACAACGCCGAAG